RNAcentral lists this long non-coding RNA (1380 nucleotides) under Coffea arabica (coffee). RNAcentral describes it as "long non-coding RNA (CARA_LNC008299)". Lineage: Eukaryota; Viridiplantae; Streptophyta; Magnoliopsida; Gentianales; Rubiaceae. The record is from RNAcentral.
CUUCCCACUUACGUAAGACUAGAGGUUGACCAUCAAAAAUCCACGGCCUCUUAUUCAUUAUCCACUCCAUAUCCUUCACCUUUUCAAACACAAACUGAAACAGAUUGCGUCCUAUCUCCACUACCUUCCCAAUCCUCACCUGAGACCACAUACUUCCUGCAAAAUUCCUUAUACCACCAACAUUUGCCCGCUUAUCCCCCAGACCUUCCCGAUUAAACUCAACUUGCACUCCUCCACACCAGGAGCCAGUUCCUCAUCAUCUAGACUAACUCCUUCUCUUUCCCCAUCCGAGAGCUUAAACCUUCUGAGAACUUCCUCUAUACCAUCCAUCACCUUCCUCUACAGACCACACUCGAAGAUGACCAGAGAGCUACCAAUCCAGCUCAUAUCCAGAACCAGCAGAUCCCCGAUACCUCCACCAAGCUCCAAAACCAACUGGCCCUGUCACAGAAGAAGCAAACAAACGGAAAAGCAGCAAGAAGACACAACACCGAAAGAGCAGAAACCUAAAAUCAUAACAAUACGGAGAAACAAAAGAGACACAGAUGUAAAAGAUACAAACACUGCUCGGAAGAAAAGAAAGCAAACUGAGAGAUCAAAUCUAGAAAACUGCCGCGAAAAUUAAAAGGAUGGAAGGAAUCAGAAGGUUGCCAUGAAAGGAAAGUUACUUAGCUUGCCGCCUAGUUCUUUCCAUUUUUAAAAUUUUGAAAGUUUCGAAGAAGAUACACACCCACUGGGGAGACUUUCUCUCUCUAAGACAGAGAGAAUUUUCCUCUCAUAGUGAGAGAGCAGAACGCGUGUUAGUUCUUCCUCCCAGAUUCUUAUUCUCUCUGUUUUUUGUGUUAUUUUUUUGGCUGCCGACCUGGUUUCACUUGGACUUCAUAUUUUAGGCUUUUGGCUACUGGACUACAAACGCUUCUUUUCCUCUUUGUUUCCGUGUUUGUUCCAGUGCGUGUAACUUCGACACAAGAAGGACGCAGAAAACUCUAAGAAGGCAAGACUUGAUAUAGCAUACGUUCACAGUACCUCGACUCGCGGCUGACGCGCCAUGCACUGCGCAAGGUACUGACGGAAUUGAAAGAAAUCAAAAGAGGCAGCCAAGCAGACACUAAAAAGAAAAUUUUGUUCACUGUACUGUUGCCUUUUUGUUGAUCUCUUCAAUGCCUAAAAAUUGUUUCUUUUGUUUCCCACUCCCACUCCGAGGAACUUAGCCCAAUCCCCCGCUACCAUUAAUUUAUAGUAUUUGCUUAACAUGCAGAAAAGUGUAUACUCGUCAGCUGCUUACCCAAUUUAGGGACUAUACUAUACUUGCCACUGUUAGACAACCUGCACAUAUGUAUCCUACGGUUCCAAUUUCUCUCUUAGGAGGAGACAUAAAUA